UCUCCCCCUCCGUCGAGAUAAGCACUUUGAUGAUUUUAAUUAUGAUGAUUAAGUUUGAUCAUUUUGAUCUAUAUUGAUACAUGCGUGUGAGCGUGCACCUUUGACUUUGCAUUCGCACGGUGCAUGAUAUCCCAUCCAAAUAAAGAUUUUGUGAUGGCAGCCACUGAAAAUCUCACUGUAAGCCAGGCUAAAGCAAAAGGUGGGUUGCGACUUGUGUUCAAUGUUUGUUCACCUAGUUUUUUAAUGUUGUCUUUUAUUCUUUGAUAAGGUGAUAGAAUGAGUGAAAGUUGCUUGUCAUCUUAGAGUAACCUGGUUAUACUAUGAAGUACACAGCUUGGUCAGCAGUCCCUUGUCAUCCUUAUCCACGGUGACUGUAUUGGCCGUUCAAAAGGUUCAGUGCUUUGACUAGAUAUCUUGCAAGACUUGCUGCAGACACUGCAGUCAGAUGAGAUAAACGAGAAGAUAUCUGGAGCACGAGAUCAGGCUGGCAAUGACAUGGUCAAAUACAUGCAGCUCGUUUUUCCACUGGUAGCUCAGGUGCAGGCAGAGGUCAUUGAAAAACAUGGAUUUUAUGGUGAACGAGCAAGUGUAGCCUUCAUGCAGAUGCUGAAGAACUUGGAAACACAGGACCCUGAGCUGGUGGCAAUGAGUGCAAGGGUGAGAGAGUAUUUCCUGCCCCAGUUGGGAGACCCAAAGGAUAGCUGAGAUGUGUCUGAAAAAAUGACUGAACACUGUAUGGUGUGGGUGAGAACUUAGAGAUGUGUUGUCUAUUUUUGUGCUUUUUUACAAUGAACAUUUCUUGGACACUUCAGUGGCACUAUUUCGAGGAAAAGAGCUUGGCGAAUUGCAUUGUGCAGUAAUGAGAGAAUCUAAGUUCUCUCGAUGAUGAUUUAGCAAUAGUAUCGACUGCCGAUGCUCAUUGCCUUCCUUUAUUAUUAAUGCGGUGAAAUUUCCAAAGGGAGUUGUCUGAAAGUAACAUGAUCUUUGUUGUACCAUGAAGUGGGUCUCGAAUUCGAUUAAACUAGACAGGAAGCGAAUCCAUCAUAAUCGUGGCAUCUUUCCCCGUGCAGUGAAGUAUUAUGUUGAUGUAGUAUGUACGAACGUAUCACUUCGUUGUGUUGUGGUAUGGCAGAUAUUCGUUAAUGAUUAGCAUCAACAUAUACCACUCGUCAAUCAGUAGUACUUGGCUAUCGACGCCUGUAGGUAAUGCCACUCCGUUUAUUUGAACGCCCGUCCGUAUAGACGUUCAGAUACCGAUGGCAUGAUUCUUAUGGGUCAUGUGGCUAACGUUGUGACUCAGCUGAUUGGAAUGCAUCCAGUGGGUGCUGGUAGAGAUGUUUUGUGUGUGGUGCCCUACUUAGUACUUAGUCAAAGCAAGUGCCUUAUCUCCAGCUAGAUUUAGGCGAGAUAAUGCGGUCAUUGUCCUCGUAGUUCGUAUAUGGCUGAAUGCAGAGGUGAUGUUUGGGCCCUGAACACAUGAAUUAGCAUAGGUUGUCUUCUGCUGGUGUUAGCGAUGUAACCUUGCUUCAUAUUGCGAUGCGACUUGACGAUAUCAGUCCCAAACUCAUCCCGGAACACGAAGUUCAUAAACCUUGCUGAUAAAGCUAUUUGUGGCUUGAGUCAGUUGCUUCCCUUUCAGUUGUGGAUCGCGCCCUAUUUCAGUUUGUAUGCACCAUUAAUUCAUUAUGUCUGAGCUUUAAGCGUGUACUUUUCUGAACUAACAAUAAACGUACUUACUAAUGUGA
Molecule: RNA transcript, 1745 nt
Organism: Amphibalanus amphitrite
Lineage: Eukaryota; Metazoa; Arthropoda; Thecostraca; Balanomorpha; Balanidae
Gene name: protein C10-like
Exons: 3
Source: RefSeq, a predicted model, not a curated record